Molecule: ribosomal RNA, 342 nt
Filed under: uncultured marine eukaryote
Lineage: Eukaryota
Description: SSU rRNA
Rfam family: Eukaryotic small subunit ribosomal RNA
Source: RNAcentral
UUAAAAAGCUCGUAGUUGGAUCUCGGCGGGCAGGGGGUGGUUCGCUCUUCAGCGCUACUGCCCCGCUUUGCCCGUGUGAUUGGCGGAGGUUUCGGGGUGCUCUUCGUUGAGUGACUCGGAGCGCCGUCAGGUUUACUUUGAAAAAAUUAGAGUGCUCAAAGCAGGCUUUUCACGCUUGGAAUAUUCGUGCAUGGAAUAAUGGAAUAGGAACUCGUUUCUAUUUUUGUUGGGUUUUCGGGAAAUCGAGUUAAUGAUUAACAGGGACAAUUGGGGGCAUUAGUAUUCAGACGACAGAGGUGAAAUUCUUGGACCGUCUGAAGACUGACUACUGCGAAAGCAUUU